AUAUCUGAAAAUUUCAUCGGAUCACAAGCAAAGACCUCCUGGGGACCUUCAAUGCAUCCCUUGACAAAGUUGUGCCUGGCCUGCUGAAACUGUACUGGUCUAAGAAGGGAGCUCUUGGUGAGGAGAUGGAAGACCUCCUGGAUAAACUUGAUGAACAGACAUCCAACACUGUGUCCAACGGGCACUGAGAGGCCUGCCCAUUUUCCUCAAGAGAAGAUGCAACAGAGGUUUCCUGAAGUGCUUAGACACUGACAUUUUGGAACCAGUGUUGAACGGUGCAUCAGUUGCCAUCCUCACCAUCCUACAAGAUGACGAUGCUGAUACGUCUGUGCGAGAACAUGCAGUUGUGUUGGAAGGGGACAUUGUGCUACAUAACAUUCCAGAUCUCUCUACUGCCCUGGCACACCUCUUUGGCCUUCUGUAUGCCCUCAACAUUGAUUAUCCAAAGCAGAUGAGUUUUACCUUUGAAGCAAUUCAGGCCAUCUUAUUUUGGCCUGGUCGGACAAUAUGAAGGUGAAGUGGAUAAAUCAUUAUUCGAAAUGUAAAUUUUAGUCAGAUGAAUCUGUAUUGUUGAGAAUAUAUGGUGAAAAUUUGUCUUGUAGUAUUUUAAAAGAUUUGUUAUAGUGUUAGUUUCCUCUUCAUUGAUGGUAACAUUUCUAAGAACUUUUAACUUCCAUAGUUCAUCAUAGUAAGCCUGUGUAAAAUGUCAAUGUCUGGGUGCAUAGGCAAUCGUUUGUAGCACUACCCUAUUUAAUGUGCAAUAGUUAUGUUCAGCUUUUACAAGACGGUCA
This is a long non-coding RNA of Oreochromis niloticus (Nile tilapia), 791 nucleotides long. RefSeq lists it as uncharacterized. The transcript is spliced from 3 exons. NCBI's taxonomy places the organism in Eukaryota, Metazoa, Chordata, Actinopteri, Cichliformes, Cichlidae. The record is from RefSeq and is a predicted model, not a curated record.